This 493-nucleotide ribosomal RNA is filed under the name uncultured bacterium. RNAcentral's name for it is "bacterial SSU rRNA". It matches the Rfam family "Bacterial small subunit ribosomal RNA", at positions 66 to 589 of the family's 1533-position model. The record is from RNAcentral.
ACGAGAAAGUGGUAGCAAUACCAUGAGUAAAGUGGCGCACGGGUGAGUAACACGUGACUAACCUACCCUGGAGUGGGGGAUAACUGAGGGAAACCUUAGCUAAUACCGCAUAAUACCUACGGGUCAAAGGAGCAAUUCGCUUUGGGAGGGGGUCGCGGCCGAUUAGUUAGUUGGCGGGGUAACGGCCCACCAAGACGAUGAUCGGUAUCCGGCCUGAGAGGGCGCACGGACACACUGGAACUGAAACACGGUCCAGACUCCUACGGGAGGCAGCAGUGGGGAAUUUUGCGCAAUGGGGGAAACCCUGACGCAGCAACGCCGCGUGGAGGAUGAAGUCCUUCGGGACGUAAACUCCUUUCGAUCGGGACGAUUAUGACGGUACCGGAAGAAGAAGCCCCGGCUAACUUCGUGCCAGCAGCCGCGGUAAUACGAGGGGGGCGAGCGUUGUUCGGAAUUAUUGGGCGUAAAGGGUGCGUAGGCGGUUUUGUAAGUC